RNAcentral lists this unclassified non-coding RNA (209 nucleotides) under Hevea brasiliensis (rubber tree). Lineage: Eukaryota; Viridiplantae; Streptophyta; Magnoliopsida; Malpighiales; Euphorbiaceae. The record is from RNAcentral.
CUUAUCGCUGAUACAGCACGGCGCAGCAUCACCGCGCUCCCUGCACUCUACUGUACUGACACAGAAGAUAGUAAAAGGGCAGAAGAAGAAGUGAGGUAGCCAUGAAGCUAUUCUCUCCUUCAAACUCCUUUCCUUCUCUUCUAUCUCCUACUCUUCCCGUCAAAUUCAGCUCCAUCUCUUUCUCCUCUUUUUACUUCUCUCCUCCGCCA